RNAcentral lists this ribosomal RNA (253 nucleotides) under uncultured bacterium. RNAcentral describes it as "partial 16S ribosomal RNA". It matches the Rfam family "Bacterial small subunit ribosomal RNA", at positions 524 to 776 of the family's 1533-position model. The record is from RNAcentral.
UACGUAGGUGGCGAGCGUUGUCCGGAAUUACUGGGUGUAAAGCGCGUGUAGGCGGCAGGCCAAGUCGGUGGUGAAAGCGCCCGGCUCAACUGGGCGAGGUCCAUGGAAACUGGUCAGCUGGAGGACGGUAGAGGCGAGUGGAAUUCCCGGUGUAGUGGUGAAAUGCGCAGAUAUCAGGAAGAACACCCGUGGCUAAGGCGGCUCUCUAGUACGGUACUGACGCUGAGACGCGAAAGCGUGGGGAGCGAACAGG